AACUAACGCUGGCGGCGCGUCUUAAACAUGCAAGUCGAACGGUGAAAAUGAGGCUUCGGCCGAAACACGAGUGGCGAACGGGUGAGUAACACGUAGGUAAUCUACCUUUCAGUGGGGGACAACUCAGGGAAACUUGAGCUAAUACCGCAUAUUCCAUUUGAUCCACGGGUCGAAUGGUGAAAGCCUUCGGGCGCUGAUUGAUGAGCCUGCGUCCUAUUAGCUUGUUGGUGGGGUAAUGGCCCACCAAGGCGACGAUGGGUAGCCGGCCUGAGAGGGUGAUCGGCCACACUGGAACUGAGACACGGUCCAGACUCCUACGGGAGGCAGCAGUUAAGAAUCUUGCGCAAUGGGGGCAACCCUGACGCAGCGACGCCGCGUGAAGGACGAAGGCUCUCGGGUUGUAAACUUCAAUAAACAGGGAAGAAUUUUGACGGUACCUGUUGAUAGCACCGGCUAAAUACG
RNAcentral lists this ribosomal RNA (462 nucleotides) under uncultured Leptonema sp. RNAcentral's name for it is "bacterial SSU rRNA". It matches the Rfam family "Bacterial small subunit ribosomal RNA", at positions 29 to 505 of the family's 1533-position model. The record is from RNAcentral. Lineage: Bacteria; Pseudomonadati; Spirochaetota; Leptospiria; Leptospirales; Leptospiraceae.